UAACGGGUCAAUUCUAGUGGUGGUCCGAUUCGAGUUCGGGAGAAGAAUUGGAGCUUCGGAAAGCUACAAAGGUAAGUAUUUCUUUUAACCUUAAUUCAAUGUAAUUAGGGUUAUGUUUAGUAUGCAUGUUAAUCUCUAAAUUAAGUUUAGUUGCAAUUAGGGUAAAAAUUCGAUCUUAUUUUCGAUGCGUUCGUAUGCUUUCCAUCACAGAUACCGUCCUAGUCUCAACCAUAAACGAUGCCAACCAGGGAUUUACAGAUGUUGCUUUAAGGACUCUGUCAGCAUCUUAUGAGAAAGCAAAGUCUUUGAGUUUUGGAGGGAGUAUGGUCGCAAGGCUUAAACUUAAAGGAAUUGACAAAAGGGCAUCACUAGGAAUGGAAUCUACGGCUUAAUUUGACUCAACACGGAGAAACUUACCAGGUCUAGACAUAGUAAGGAUUGACAGACUGAGAGCUCUUUCUUGAUUAUAUGGGUGGUGAUGCAUGGUUGUUCUUAGUUGGUGGAGUGAUUUGUCUGGUUAAUUUUGUUAAUGAACAAGACCUCAGCCUGCUAACUAGCUAUGUGGAGGAACCCUCCACAGCCAGCUUCUUAGAGGGACUAUGGUCGCUUAGGCUAAGGAAGUUUUAGGCAAUAACAGGUAUGUGAUGCCCUUAAAUGUUCUGGGCCGCACCUGCGCUACACUAAUGUAUUCAAUGAGUCUAUAGCCUUAGCCAAGAGGCUCGAUAAAUCUUUAAAAUUUCAUCAUAAUGCGAAUAAAUCAUUGUGAUUGUUGGUCUUCAAUGAGGAAUUCUUAAUAAGCGCGAGUCAUCAGCUCGCAUUGAUUACGUCCCUACCUUUUACCCUAGAUUAUAA
This 852-nucleotide non-coding RNA is filed under the name Cucumis melo (muskmelon). Its description in RNAcentral is "Eukaryotic small subunit ribosomal RNA". It matches the Rfam family "Eukaryotic small subunit ribosomal RNA", at positions 631 to 1831 of the family's 1831-position model. The record is from Rfam by way of RNAcentral. Lineage: Eukaryota; Viridiplantae; Streptophyta; Magnoliopsida; Cucurbitales; Cucurbitaceae.